This 224-nucleotide long non-coding RNA is filed under the name Mytilus galloprovincialis (Mediterranean mussel). Lineage: Eukaryota; Metazoa; Mollusca; Bivalvia; Mytilida; Mytilidae. The record is from RNAcentral.
AAAAGAUAUACACAGAAUUUAGAUCUAAGCUGAACAAUGAUACAUUAUGUGCACUUUUGUCAUGCAAAUUUAAUCAAACUGGCAGUUGCUAUGAGUAUCAGCCUAGUUGUGAUGUGCUGAAAGCAGCAAAACAGGCCACCAUUGAAUAUAAUAAAAGUUUACAGUAGUAUGUUUUUUUUUUACAUAAAAAAAAUUGUAUUAAAGAUAUAAGAUAUUAUAGAUAA